Molecule: ribosomal RNA, 501 nt
Filed under: uncultured bacterium
Lineage: Bacteria
Description: partial 16S ribosomal RNA
Rfam family: Bacterial small subunit ribosomal RNA
Source: RNAcentral
AUUGAACGCUGGCGGCAGGCUUAACACAUGCAAGUCGAGCGGGGGAAGGUAGCUUGCUACCGGACCUAGCGGCGGACGGGUGAGUAAUGCUUAGGAAUCUGCCUAUUAGUAGGGGACAACAUCUGGAAAGGGAUGCUAAUACCGCAUACGUCCUACGGGAGAAAGCAGGGGAUCUUUGGACCUUGGGCUAAUAGAUGAGCCUAAGUCGGGUUAGCUAGUUGGUGGGGUAAAGGCCUACCAAGGCGACGGUCUGUAGCGGGUCUGAGAGGAUGAGCCGCCACACUGGGACUGAGACACGGCCCAGACUCCUACGGGAGGCAGCAGUGGGGAAUAGUGGACAAUGGGGGGAACCCUGAUCCAGCCAUGCCGCGUGUGUGAAGAAGGCCUUAUGGUUGUAAAGCACUUUAAGCGAGGAGGAGGCUACUUUAGUUAAUACCUAGAGAUAGUGGACGUUACUCGCAGAAUAAGCACCGGCUAACUCUGUGCCAGCAGCCGCAGUAA